Molecule: ribosomal RNA, 308 nt
Filed under: uncultured eukaryote
Lineage: Eukaryota
Description: partial 18S ribosomal RNA
Rfam family: Eukaryotic small subunit ribosomal RNA
Source: RNAcentral
CCCUUAGAUGUUCUGGGCCGCACGCGCGCUACAAUGGCAAACUCAGCGAGUCUCCUUUACCGACAGGUAUAGGAAAUCUUUUCAGUGUUUGCCGUGAUGGGGCUAGACCCUUGUAAUUAUUGGUCUCCAACGAGGAAUUCCUAGUAAACGCAGGUCAUUAACCUGCAUUGAUUACGUCCCUGCCCUUUGUACACACCGCCCGUCGCACCUACCGAUUGAAUGGUUCGGUGAAGUCUCCGGACUGAGUACUUUUAGUACUUGGGAAGUUGACUAAACCUUACUAUUUAGAGGAAGGUGAAGUCGUAACA